This 427-nucleotide ribosomal RNA is filed under the name uncultured Acidobacteriota bacterium. RNAcentral describes it as "bacterial SSU rRNA". It matches the Rfam family "Bacterial small subunit ribosomal RNA", at positions 958 to 1385 of the family's 1533-position model. Lineage: Bacteria; Pseudomonadati; Acidobacteriota. The record is from RNAcentral.
AACGCGAAGAACCUUACCUGGGCUUGAACCGCUACGGACCAAGGGUAGAAAUAUCCUCUUCCCGCAAGGGACCGUAGUAGAGGUGCUGCAUGGCUGUCGUCAGCUCGUGCCGUGAGGUGUUGGGUUAAGUCCCGCAACGAGCGCAACCCUUACUCCUAGUUGCUACCCGCAAGGGAGAACUCUAGGAGGACUGCUCCGGAUAACGGAGAGGAAGGUGGGGAUGACGUCAAGUCAGCACGGCCUUUAUGUCCAGGGCUACACACGUGUUACAAUGCAUGGUACAGACUGUUGCGAACCCGCGAGGGGGAGCUAAUCGGACAAAGCCAUGCUCAGUUCGGAUUGCAGUCUGCAACUCGACUGCAUGAAGCUGGAAUCGCUAGUAAUGCCGUAUCAGAUCGACGGCGUGAAUACGUUCCCGGGCCUUGUA